CUAAGUCACAUCUGGCGUUAAGUAGGGUCACGCAAUGUUUUUGAGAUGGAAGCAUCAGGAUUUGGUGAUAGACUGUACAUGAGGCAUAAAGGAGAGGUCGGAGUCAAAGAGAACACCUAGGCAGAGAGCCUGCGUGGUGGAGCUGAUGGUAGCACCAUUGAGUUGGAGGGAGACAGAUACAGGAGUAGGAGGGAGGAAAGACCAGAAUUUCAGUUUUGAGCAAGUUGAAUUUAAAGAAGUGGGCAGUCAGUUAAAAAUAGCAGAGAGGCAGUCAGAGAUACUAGUCAAGAGGGAUGGGGAGAGAUCUGGAGAGGACAGAUUGAUUUGCAUGUCAUCCUCAUAGAAAUGAUAUUGGAAGCCAAAGGAGCCACUGAGUUUACCAAGGGAGGAGGUAUAGAUGAAAAACAGAAGGGGACACCAACAGAGAGGUGUUGGGUAAAAGAAGCAGAGCCAGAGAAAGAAACACUGAAAGAGCGCUGGGAGAGGUAGGAGGAGCACCAGGAGAGAGCAAUAUCUUGUAGACCGUGUUACGGUACCUUCAGCAUGAAAUGUACAAACCGCCGUUUAGUGAAU
Molecule: non-coding RNA, 573 nt
Organism: Pelobates cultripes (western spadefoot toad)
Lineage: Eukaryota; Metazoa; Chordata; Amphibia; Anura; Pelobatidae
Source: the annotation of a GenBank genome assembly